This 409-nucleotide ribosomal RNA is filed under the name bacterium. Its description in RNAcentral is "partial 16S ribosomal RNA". It matches the Rfam family "Bacterial small subunit ribosomal RNA", at positions 355 to 776 of the family's 1533-position model. RNAcentral also lists the same sequence under 3 other names. The record is from RNAcentral.
UGGGGAAUAUUGCACAAUGGGCGAAAGCCUGAUGCAGCGACGCCGCGUGAGGGAUGACGGCCUUCGGGUUGUAAACCUCUUUCAGUAGGGAAGAAGCGAAAGUGACGGUACCUGCAGAAGAAGCGCCGGCUAACUACGUGCCAGCAGCCGCGGUAAUACGUAGGGCGCAAGCGUUAUCCGGAAUUAUUGGGCGUAAAGAGCUCGUAGGCGGUUUGUCGCGUCUGCCGUGAAAGUCCGGGGCUCAACUCCGGAUCUGCGGUGGGUACGGGCAGACUAGAGUGAUGUAGGGGAGACUGGAAUUCCUGGUGUAGCGGUGAAAUGCGCAGAUAUCAGGAGGAACACCGAUGGCGAAGGCAGGUCUCUGGGCAUUAACUGACGCUGAGGAGCGAAAGCAUGGGGAGCGAACAGG